Molecule: long non-coding RNA, 1119 nt
Organism: Oryzias melastigma (Indian medaka)
Lineage: Eukaryota; Metazoa; Chordata; Actinopteri; Beloniformes; Adrianichthyidae
Exons: 2
Source: RefSeq, a predicted model, not a curated record
UACAGAAAAACAGCAAAUUGGCCAACUCGUUUGUUACAGUUGUGUGACGUCAUCACUAGUCGCAAGCCCCCGAGCCGAUCUGACAGGCCGAGCACAUCUGCUACCUACACCGGCUCUGGGGCUGAAGGCGGGGGUCCGUCCGUGCUGGGUGGGGGUUCCGUGGACUGCAGUCGCGAAACCAAAGAUCCAUUUAAAAGCCGUUGGCCGUCGUUCUCGGCGCUGUUCUGUGUUCCCAACCAGCCCGCGGCUUCGACGUCUUUCCCGGAGGACAGCACGAGCCUGAAGACCUCGCGCGGGUGGAAUUCCAGAACAAGUUCUACACGGGUCAGGGCUUCGUUUGUGUCCUUCUCCUUUGAGAGCAUCCUGGAGGGCCGGUUUGACGAAUGAUCACGCCCUCCGUCAGACUAAAGAGUCUCCAGCUUUCCCUCUGUUUCUCUGUGGAGAUGUUAGUGUGCAUGAGCCCUGGUGCACCUCUGUGUCGCCCUCUAGUGGCUGUUUUAAAAGGUUCUGCAUGAGCUGAUUUUCUUUAGGCCAGCUCACCACUGCUGCUGUAUUUUUUUCCUUAAGUGAUGUGAGAUUUUUCUCUGCAUUUCCUGAAACAUGAACACAUGGGACUUCCACUAUAAGACAUGCCAUUUAAUUGACAAGAAUUUGUCCUAAAGAGCAAAUCAUCUCUCAGUUUACUUCCUGGCUGUUUGCUCAUCUGAACAACACCAGAGAAGGUUUGAGUGGAUAAACUGCAACAAGGACUCAAAAAUAAAUCUUCACAUUUCCACUGGAGGUUGAUAUGUGUAUUAGUCUCAAAGAAGAGCUUCAUGACAACGGGUGUUGUUAUUGUUUCAGUGUGCACUGUGUGUGUGGUGGUGAACUGGUCAAAACUGAAAACCAAGUUGGAACAGCUCAGAUGUUUCCAGGUCUUUAAUGUUGGCUAAAAAAGCCUUCUCCCUUUGGGUUCACUCACACAAUCAUAUCAUGUAAUUGUGACUGUGUUUUACCAAAUAAAAGUAAAUGUUUAGUUCCAAAUUCUAUUUAUUAAACUUGUGAAGAAGCCCCUACAGAGAGCAGUUUGAAGACAGUGAGUGUAAUGUAAUGUGUUGUGCAAUAAACCUAGAGAUUCAU